GCACGUAUUGUCAUAGAAGAUAGAAACAAUUGAUUCCACUAUUAAGAAGAAUUGUUCAUAGUCAAGUUGAAUGAUACUUUAUUGGAAUUUUUGGUGCACAUGUAUGUUUAUGCUAUCUUACACGCAAUACUUUUGUAGCAUAAGAUAAUAACAUGUAUCCAUCAUUUCUUAGACGUUCGAGCAGCAACAAAUACCACCAUGAUCUGAAUGGCAGUGGCCAUGCUUGAAUUCAAAAAAUGCGCAAUGUCCCAUGCAUGGUUCGUCAGACACAUAGUCUCCCUCGCAGGCUUUGAACUUCAUACAUAAGUUGGGAAUUGGGGUUGGUUUUGGACCUACCCACAACAAAUAUAUCAACAUUAGAAUACAUAAAUUACAUAAGUUCAUGAGUUAGUUUAAAUUACACACGCAAAGGUGUGCACAUAUGUUAAUCCACAAAUGAUCAGGAAAAUGAUAGAAAAUUGUUGUACCUGCAUGGCAUGAUAGUAGAAUGCUAGACACCAUUAUAAGAGAGCCACCAAGCAUAGAGCUCGUGUGUUCAUCUUGGUAAGUCCCAUGAGGAG
RNAcentral lists this long non-coding RNA (560 nucleotides) under Triticum aestivum (bread wheat). RNAcentral describes it as "long non-coding RNA (TAES_LNC028405)". The record is from RNAcentral. Lineage: Eukaryota; Viridiplantae; Streptophyta; Magnoliopsida; Poales; Poaceae.